This is a non-coding RNA of Salvia hispanica, 788 nucleotides long. The record is from RefSeq and is a predicted model, not a curated record. Lineage: Eukaryota; Viridiplantae; Streptophyta; Magnoliopsida; Lamiales; Lamiaceae.
UCGACAGUCUUCUUCCAUAUUUCACCUUAACAAAUUUUCUUCAAGAUUUAAAACUUUACAUGUCAAACAGUCGACGCAAUUCCUAAUUUCCGAUAACUCGAGGCGGGAGAGGGAGGAUUGGUUCAUGGUUCUAAUGGAGGUCUUUUGAGGGCCUUAUGUUCUCCAGUUGCUGCAUCUUCGAGCUUUGAGGCGGAGCUUAUGGCUCUUAUUCGAGGUUUAGAGAUGGCUAUGGAGUUCUAUGCACACAUUUGGAUAGAGAUGGACUCAACGGCACUAGUUACCUUACUGUCACAGUUUGGUUUCGCGGAUCUUAGUCACCAUAUGACUUUGAUUCAAAGUAUGACUUUUCAGUCGCAGGUUCAAUUCUCACACAUCUACAGAGAGGGUAACCGCGCUGCCGACUUCUUUGCAGGGAGGGAGGCGUAGACCCUUGCCCUGACCUAUUAUGAUUCAGUUUUUGCGCCUCGGUAUCUAAAGGCGCUAGUUAAGAAGGACCACCUGGGAAAUAAUAAAUUAAAUAGGAAAAGCCCGAAUUACUUGUAAUUUGGGAUUAAACGGGCAGUCAAUAUUAUUUCACUAUAGUGGCUGAUAAUAAUAUUCUAUCGUACUUGUAUUAAAUUGGGGCUCAAUAGUAAAAGUCUAACACAUUUGGCCCAAGUCCAACUGAAGAGAGGAGUUUUGCACGUGUGUCAUGUGCACGUGUCCUUUACUUCAACAAGAUUUAUAGUUUCCCACUUUUGUAACAAAUAUUACUAAAUAUAAGCGGCAAGAGCGGGGUCGAACCCACA